RNAcentral lists this ribosomal RNA (877 nucleotides) under Hydra oligactis. RNAcentral describes it as "small subunit ribosomal RNA". Lineage: Eukaryota; Metazoa; Cnidaria; Hydrozoa; Anthoathecata; Hydridae. The record is from RNAcentral.
UUUCUUUUGAUUAUGGAGAAAUAAAAGUAUGAGAAUCAUUUAUACAUGUUAGUGGAAGCAAAUAAAUGAGUAAAAUAGGGUAAUACCUGUUUUGUAUCAGGUUAAAAAGUUUAAUAUAUUUUUACCCUAAGACGCAUAGCUUAAGCCAUGUUUUUACUGAAACAAAGAAAAAUUAACAGCAGUAAAGAAAUUUAUACAAUUAAAGUAAUUUAGAUAUAAGGUAAUCGUUAAUUUUGUCUAAUUAAGUGCCAGCAGACGCGGUGAUACUUAAGAAGUAAACUUUUAUAUAAAAAUAGGUUAAAUGUGUAUAGAACAUAAUUUAUAAAANUAAGAUUAUUGAUUUGGUAAAAUAUACAAUAAUUAAAAAUCUUAUUUAUUUUAUUUAAUAUCUAGAAACUUGAAUAAAUGAUAAUUAAACAGGAUUAGAUACCCUGGUAAUCUUUUUGUUAAUAAUUAAUCUGAACAGUAUACCUAAACAGGUGAAAAUCAAAUAUUUUGGUUGUUUAUUUUUCUAAUUAGAGGAGUAUGUAAUUUAAUUCGAUAAUCCGCGAAAUACCUUACCUUUUUUUGAAAACACAAGUGUUGCAUGGUUGUCUUCAGCUUUAACAUAUAGUUAAAGCAUAAUUCUUAGAUGAAUAAAGUCAAAUAUUAUGGCCUUUAUAAAAAGGGGUAUUAUGUACUACAAUAAAUAUUAUAAUAUAAAUAUAUAUUUGGAUAAUCAAUGUAAUAAUGAUUUAAAAGAGAAUUUAAUAGUAAUUAAAAAUAUAAUGUUUUAAUGAAUAAGUGCAAAUAUUAAUACAAAUAGCCCGUCGCCUUGAUCAUAAAAGAUAGAGUAAGUCGUAACAUAGUGGGGGAAAGGGAACUUUUCCCUGUGAUU